CAAANACAUGNCCUUUGAAUUUAAUAUAAGGUCUNACCUGCCCAGUGAUAAAUUUAACGGCCGCGGUAUACUNNCCGUGCANNGGNNGCAUANUCAUUAGUCUUUUAAUAGAGGGNGGGAAUGAAAGGUUUAACGAAAAACUGACUGUCUCAUUUUAUUUGUUUNAAAAAUUAAUUUUUUAGUUAAAAAGCUAAAAUUUUAUUGGUAGNCGAGAAGNCCCUAUAGAGCUUCNNCAUAUGAUUAAAUAAAUAUUUUUAUAUUAAUAUUUUUAUUUAUUUUUGUGUUUUGUUGGGGUGACAAAAANAUAUAACUAACUUUUUUAUUUACUUUACAUUGAUUUAUGAAUAUUAGNUCCAAUCUUAUUGAUUAUUAGACUAAGUUACCUUAGGGAUAACAGCGUAAUCCUCCUCCAGAGUUCAUAUUUACAGGAUGGGCUUGCGACCNCGAUGUUGGAGGAAGAUAANA
RNAcentral lists this ribosomal RNA (465 nucleotides) under Orthemis ferruginea. RNAcentral's name for it is "partial 16S ribosomal RNA". It matches the Rfam family "Archaeal large subunit ribosomal RNA", at positions 1900 to 2616 of the family's 2987-position model. The record is from RNAcentral. Lineage: Eukaryota; Metazoa; Arthropoda; Insecta; Odonata; Libellulidae.